AAGAAAUUAGUUAAAUUAACAUUAGUAUGUCACGCUAAAAUUAUUGGUACAGCCCAAUAUUUCUUA
RNAcentral lists this transfer RNA (66 nucleotides) under Heptagenia sulphurea. RNAcentral describes it as "tRNA-Asp". Lineage: Eukaryota; Metazoa; Arthropoda; Insecta; Ephemeroptera; Heptageniidae. The record is from RNAcentral.